Molecule: long non-coding RNA, 1927 nt
Organism: Aethalodelphis obliquidens (Pacific white-sided dolphin)
Lineage: Eukaryota; Metazoa; Chordata; Mammalia; Artiodactyla; Delphinidae
Exons: 3
Source: RefSeq, a predicted model, not a curated record
CCGGCUGCGCGCCCCACCGCCUCACGGCCCCACCCAGCCUCUGGGCGUGUGUGGCCGUUUGCGGGAAGCGCCUUCCUAGGCCGUCCCUCAGCCCCCUGCCCCGGCCCGCGGCCUCAGCCCGUAUUCUGGUGGCGCCGCCCCGUCCACAGGGCAACCCCCGUUCCCGCAAUUCCUUCCCUUUCAGGUGUGGCCGGUGGGGGACGGCGGUGGUCAGGGUGGGGCAUGAUCAGGAGCACGUGGGCCUGGGACCCCGGACCGUGGGGAUUAGAGGUUUCGUGGAAAGAAGCUGCAGUUCCUGUUCAGAGGCAUAAGUCCCUGCCGGAAAUGGUCUUGGGAAAGACUGGUUGAGUGUGGCAAGGGCUGGAAAACCUGGAAUUUCAUGGAGGGAAGGAGGAUCUUCAGCCUUUCCUGAGGCACAGCUCCUCUCAAUAGCUGUCGGAUGCAUAGAUAGAUGAAUGGCCGAGAAGACGGAUGGGGAGGUGAACCUGCAGGUAAAAAAGCAGAACGGAGGGGAGUGAUUACAACAGACUCCAAGGAAGAAAGGAGCUUGGAAUCAGGACUGGCUCCAGACACAGACUAGUAGGUAGCUGCCUGUGACACAAUUGCAGGGUCACUAGGAAGGCACUCCCCCCACCGUGGCUCCAGUGCCUCACAUCCCUUUUACAAAAGGAGACAAAGCCUUCUGUUCCCUGAAGUGUACAGAGCUCAGGCAUGAAUCCCAUGUUCCUGGAGAGGGAAGAAGUGCUCAGAGGGUUACCCUCAUUCAUGCUAAGGGGUAAAUGACUGAGAGAGCCUUUCCUAAGAGCAAAUUGUGAUGGGAGGCUAUGUGUGUGGAGGAAGGGAGAGGAAAUUAGGGAGAGAGGCCAGGACCCAAAAUGGGCAAAAGACACAGACAAAGGAGUCUUAGGGCCUGAGGCCAACGUUGACCGGACGUGUCAUUUUGCUUUUGCUGCGCUCAGUCCUAUUGUGUAGGACAACCUUCUUGGUAAAUCGGGUUCCGCAAAUAUUUGACGUCUGGAAAACUUUCAACAAAGAUGGCGUUCGGAAGCCUGGCUCGGAGGCCCCAGGAUGACAACCUAAUUACAUUCCUUUUAAUAGCUCCUUCCCAAGUGCUCAGUCAGGGACAUCUGCUGUGCCGCGGUUGCACCUUCAGGGAGGAAUAUUUUUAUCCCCGCGAUGCCACAAAAGGAAACUUCUGAAGGCUGGAUGAAAAUGGCCUCUGCGUUCCCAGAGCCUCAGGGCCCAGGUAGGUAGGGCCUAACACUCUCCCCACACCCCUCCACCCCCAAAACAGGGCCAGGCUCCUUUUCACAAGCAGAGGAGGCGCUGACUGCCUAGGAAGUGGUGGUUGUUAUGGGUGUGUGUUUAAAAUUUUCCUUUCGCAGUUUUCCCAGAGGUACCUACAACAUGCCAGGCUGCCUCACCCAGUUUUCCAUGUAAGUGGGGUGUCAACAUAACAACUAAGGCUGACGCCAGGCCUCACUGCUCAGUGGGACCCUGUCACCGCUUCUACCCAUUAACUGUUCUUACCCUACAGCCCAGCUGAGGAUCCCCAACACAGACCUUUGUUAUGACAGAGGAAGGAAAGGGGGAGACAAACCAAGAAAGAGCAGGAUUUCUGUGGUUUGUUUCAUAGGUGAUUAGCUUGCUAGGAAGGCCAAGGGCUGAUAGGCUAAAGUAGGAGAUGUGUCUUUUGAGGGUCCCUGGGAUCAAUGAAUAAAAUGCAAGGAGCCCCAGAUAUGCAUCUACUCCAUAUUCUCUCCUCCUCUUCUGCGGACAAGUUCCCUGCAUCCCGGAAAGGUAAAUGGACUUGCUCAAGGAGUUAACAUUGCCACCUGGGUUGACUCAUCUCUCUUUUUUUUUCUCUUUUUUUGUGGUACACGGGCCUCUCACUGCUGUGGCCUCUCCCGUUGCGGAGCACAGGCUC